GAGGAACGACUCACCUUGAUGGAAGGAAUGUGAAGGAACGAUCACCUUGAUGGAAGGAACGUCAGAGGAAACGACCACCUUGAUGGAAGGAAUGUGAGAGGACGAUCACCUUGAUGGAAGGAACGUCAGAGGAAACGACCACCUUGAUGGAAGGAAUGUGAGAGGAACGAUCACCUUGAUGGAAGGAAUGUUGAAGGAAAUGGUCACUUUGAUGGAAGGAAUGUCUGAGUAAACGGUCACCUGGAUGGAAGGAACGUCUGAGGAAACAUUCACCUGGAUGGAAGGAACGUUGGAGGAAACAUUGUCGGGAGAUGCAGCGGUACAAGGAGGUUUAUGAGAAAUCCAAAGGCCCAGAACCUCUUCAUACCCGAUGUAGAGUUCCAGCAUUCCAAGAACAUCCGCGCGUUCAUCUCUGAGUUCAAGUACAAAGGUGAGAAAGUCUCCUCUGGUUCGGCUUACUCUCAACUUCCUGAGACGAUGGAGACGGAGAGAGAGAGAGAGAGCGCUCACAGAGACGCAGAGCAAGUACAAAGAGAGCGGGAAGAAAAAUAUCUCCCAAAUCAUCUAUCCGGUCUAGCUGAUACCAUGGAUACCCAAUCUGUCAGAAAUGUGUCUGAACUGCAAAGUCAGGUGAAAAGAGCAGCAGACGAAGUACAAGAAAGCAGUGGAGAAGAAGGCAAGGUCUCUCUACUCUGUGAUGCGAGAGACUCUGGAGACCCAACAUGCCAAGCGGUCUCCCAGCUCCAGAGCCAGGCCAAGUACAAGGAGGCAGGGAAGCAGCAGUUCUCCACUUCUCUCUACUUAAAGCUUCCAGAGACUUUGGAGACUCAGCACGCACAAGAGGCCUCCCAGCUACAGAGCGUGCUGAAAUACAAGCAAGGUGGCUAAAAGGAUACCUCCAGUUCUCUGUACUCCCUGCUUCCAGAAACGACAGAGAUCCAGCUAGCCAAAGAGCAACAGGAUAUUUACAGUGAGCAAAAUGACAAAAGUGACACGCAGGAACUGUCCAUCUGCUUGUACACACAACUCCCUGAAACCAUGGAGACCAAGUUUGCUGAAGAAAUGUCUCAAGAAAUGUCUCAGUCUAAAUACAAGGAGGCAGGGAAGAAACAGGCUUCAGGUUCUCUGGACUCCACCUUAUCAAAACUAUGGAGACCCAGCACACCGAAGAGGCUUCCCAGCUACAGAAAUCUGUACUAGGACAAGUACAACGCAGAGAAGGGCCAGUUACAUCACCAUGGAGAUCUUACCAGAGGUCUCCCACGCUAUGGAAGUCAACAAACAGAAAAGCAAAGUCAACUACAGAAUGGGAAAACAGAACACAAUUUCACCACUUUGACAGACAGGCCGGAUAUCUUGAAUGCCAAACAGGCCAAUGAACUGGCCUGCAACGUGGCCUAUAGGAGUAAAACAAAGCAUUACAGCUACACUGAUGUCCUGGGAAGGUCUGAUAUCGAGCAUGCCAAUGUGGCCUCCAAACUCACUAGCCAGGUGAAGUCUAAGACCAAUCAGAACCAGGUGAUUGAGGGAUCCAUGGACCUGCCCAUCCUUCUGCACCUGGAGUACAUGCUACACGCUACCAAGCUGCAGAGCAACGUAAAGUACAAGAAGAAGUACGAGCGGUGUAACGGACACUACUAUAUAGCACUGGACACAACAGAACAGCAAGAGAAUGCGGUACUGCACAGCUAGAUGGAGUACAGGAGGGAUGGACUGAAGGUGAAGGGGAGGGGGCUCUCAGGUCUGUGAUUGGAGGACACACCAGGCCUCAUACGGGCUAAAUACGCCACAUCCUCAAUGAGAAAGAGUACCGCAAGGACCUGGAGAAUGACAUCAUGGGUAAAGGCAUGGAGAUCAGUGGUGACGUGCUGGAGAGGCAGAGGGCCAAGAAGGCCACUGAGUUAACCAGCCAGGUGAAAUACAGAGACGGGGUCGGGAGCGGGACAGAAGUCAUGGAAACUGUUGACAUGGAGAGGGUCCGCAGAAACCAGGAGAACAUCAGCUUGGUGAAGUAUAAAAAGCAGCUGCAGGCCACCAGUGUGGGAGUCACCCCAGAGUUGGAGCGAGUCCGUCAGAACCAGGAGAACAUCAGCUCAGCAAGUCACAUAGGCUGCAUCUGAAAUGGCAACCUACAGUAUAUGUGAAGUACCAGCGCGGGAUGAAGGAGAUGAAGGGGCAGUCCUGCGGCGAGUUGGACACGCCCGGACUGAGUAGUGUCAGGGAGUCCCAGAACGACAUCUAACACGACUGAAGCGCACCGCAUGUGGGACUGCUGCACUUUUAACCCACACAGCUAAAGAGUUAACAAGGAAACAGCCAUGCUGUUUUGAGGGAGCCAUAAUGAAUGUACUGUAUUGUGUCUGUGAGCGUGUCUGUGAGCGUGUCUGUGUGUGUGUUACUAAUAAAGUGAUUUUUACAUGG
Salvelinus sp. IW2-2015 is the source of this 2421-nucleotide RNA transcript. It is a transcript of the gene named nebulette-like, with no coding region annotated. NCBI's taxonomy places the organism in Eukaryota, Metazoa, Chordata, Actinopteri, Salmoniformes, Salmonidae. The record is from RefSeq and is a predicted model, not a curated record.